UCAUUUAGUGUGUGUGUUUGUGUGUGUGUGUGUGUGUGUGUGUACACACACACACACACACACACACACACACAGUGUAAUGG
RNAcentral lists this microRNA precursor (83 nucleotides) under Podarcis lilfordi (Lilford's wall lizard). The record is from RNAcentral. Lineage: Eukaryota; Metazoa; Chordata; Lepidosauria; Squamata; Lacertidae.